UGGACCAAUGAUGACAACUUGUAAUGGAUGUCAUGGACGAUGAAUAAUACUUGUCUGGAUAUCUGAGGUCCAU
This is a small nucleolar RNA of Manis pentadactyla (Chinese pangolin), 73 nucleotides long. RefSeq annotates it as small nucleolar RNA SNORD113/SNORD114 family. The transcript has a single exon. NCBI's taxonomy places the organism in Eukaryota, Metazoa, Chordata, Mammalia, Pholidota, Manidae. The record is from RefSeq and is a predicted model, not a curated record.